UGGGGAAUUUUGCGCAAUGGGCGCAAGCCUGACGCAGCAACGCCGCGUGAGUGAGGACGCCUUUCGAGGUGUAAAGCUCUGUGAGACGGGACGAAGGCCCUGGGGGUGAAGAGCCUGCGGGGGUGACGGUACCGUCAGAGGAAGCCCCGGCUAACUCCGUGCCAGCAGCCGCGGUAAGACGGAGGGGGCGAGCGUUGUUCGGAAUUAUUGGGCGUAAAGCGCGCGUAGGCGGCUUGGGAAGUCCUGAGUGAAAGCCCCUGGCUUAACUGGGGAAGGGCUUGGGAGACUCUUGGGCUUGAGUGCCGGAGGGGGAGGCGGAAUUCCUGGUGGAGCGGUGAAAUGCGUAGAGAUCAGGAAGAACGUCGGUGGCGAAGGCGGCCUCCUGGACGGACACUGACGCUGAGGAGCGACAGCGUGGGGAGCGAACGGG
RNAcentral lists this ribosomal RNA (430 nucleotides) under uncultured bacterium. Its description in RNAcentral is "bacterial SSU rRNA". It matches the Rfam family "Bacterial small subunit ribosomal RNA", at positions 355 to 776 of the family's 1533-position model. The record is from RNAcentral.